UUCCGGUUGAUCCUGCCGGAGGCUACUGCUAUUGGGAUUCGACUAAGCCAUGCGAGUCAAGGUGUCUUCGGACGCCGGCAUACGGCUCAGUAACACGUAGGUAACCUACCCUCAGGACUGAGAUAACCCCGGGAAACUGGGGCUAAUAUUAGAUAGAUAAAAGAUACUGGAAUGUUCUUUUAUCCAAAGCUUUUGCGCCUGAGGAUGGGCCUGCGCCCGAUUAGGUUGUUGGUGGGGUAAUGGCCCACCAAGCCUACGAUCGGUACGGGCAGUGGGAGCUGAAGCCCGGAGUUGGGGACUGAGACAAGGCCCCAGGCCCUACGGGGCGCAGCAGGCGCGAAACCUCUGCAAUGCGGGAAACCGUGACAGGGGGAUCCCAAGUGCUCAUGCAUUGCAUGGGCUGUUCUUUGGUCUAAGUAACCAGAGGAGUAAGGGCUGGGCAAG
This 444-nucleotide ribosomal RNA is filed under the name uncultured archaeon. RNAcentral's name for it is "bacterial SSU rRNA". It matches the Rfam family "Archaeal small subunit ribosomal RNA", at positions 1 to 450 of the family's 1478-position model. The record is from RNAcentral.